RNAcentral lists this ribosomal RNA (497 nucleotides) under uncultured bacterium. RNAcentral's name for it is "partial 16S ribosomal RNA". It matches the Rfam family "Bacterial small subunit ribosomal RNA", at positions 28 to 507 of the family's 1533-position model. The record is from RNAcentral.
GAUGAACGCUGGCGGCGUGCCUAAUACAUGCAAGUCGAACGGACGGACCAUAAGCUCGCUUCUCUGAUGUUAGCGACGGGCGGGUGAGUCACGCGUGGAUAACCUUCCUCUAUGACUGGGGUAACUUCGGGAGACCGUAGCUCCUACCGGAUAAUAUUUUGAACGGCAUGGUUCAAAAGUGAUUGACGGUCUUGCUGUCACUUCUAGCUGGCUCCGCGGUGGAUUAGCUAGUUGGUACGGUAACGGCUUACCAAGGCAACGAUGCAUAGCCGAACUGAGAGGGUGAUCGGCCACACUGGAACUGGGACACGGUCCAGACUCCUACGGGAGGCAGCAGUAGGGAAUCGUGCGCAAUGGGCGAAAGCCUGACGGAGCAACGCCGCGUGGGUGAAGAAGGUCUGCGGGUCGUAAAACUCUGUUAUUGGGGAAGAACAUAUGCGGUAGUAACUGUGCGUAUUGUGACGGUACCUAAACAAAAAGCACCGGCUAACUACGUG